RNAcentral lists this small RNA (76 nucleotides) under Xanthomonas prunicola. Its description in RNAcentral is "sX9 sRNA". It matches the Rfam family "Xanthomonas sRNA sX9". Lineage: Bacteria; Pseudomonadati; Pseudomonadota; Gammaproteobacteria; Lysobacterales; Lysobacteraceae. The record is from RNAcentral.
ACGUACCACGCAUACACGGCGGUUCCUCCGCGCCAUCCACGCCCACCGGGCGACUGCUCGUUACGUUCUGUUAGAC